Long non-coding RNA from Macaca mulatta (Rhesus monkey), 1609 nucleotides. Lineage: Eukaryota; Metazoa; Chordata; Mammalia; Primates; Cercopithecidae. The record is from Ensembl.
UUUGACAGAGUGCUGAUUGGUACGUUUACAAUCCUUGAGCUAGACACAGAGUCACAGAGUGCUAGUUAGCUAGAUACAGAGUACCAAUUGGUUUAUUCACAAACCCUGAGCUAGACACAGAGUGCUGAUUGGUCCAUUUUACGAAGAGCUGAUUGGUUUGUUUUGACAGAGUGCUGAUUGGUGUGUUUACAAUACUUGAGCUAGACACAGAGUCACUGAGUGCUAGCUAGCUACAGAGUUAGCUAGAUACAGAGUACCAAUUGGUGUAUUCACAAACCUUGAGUUAGACAGUGUGCUGAUUGGUGCAUUUACAAUCCUCUAGCUAGAUAUAAAAGUUCUCCAAGUCCCCAUCCCCUUCAGGAGUCCAGCUGGCUUCACCCAGUGGAUCCUGCAGUGGGGCUGCAGGUGGAGCUGCCCGCCAGUCCCAAGCCACUGGCCUGCUCUCCUCAGCCCCUGGGCUGUGGAUGGAACUGGGCGCCCCAAAGCAGGUCAGGUGGAGCUCAGGUCACAUGAGAGCCCACCACAGGGGAAGGAGCUCAGACAAGGCAGGCUGCAGGUCCAGAGCCCUGCCCCACAGGGAGGCAGCUAAACCCCUGGAGAACUUGAGUGCAGCGCAGGCGGGCAGGCACUGCUGGGGGACCCUGCGCAACCUCCCCAGCUGCUGAGCCCCUCACUGCCCUGGGCCCGCAGUGCCUGAAGGCCGCUCAGUGUGCAGGGCCUGCGGAGCCUGCGCCCGCGCCUGCCGGAACUCACACCGUCCUGUGAGCGCAGCCCAGGUUCCCACCUGUGCCUCUCCCUCCACACCUCCACGCAACAGAGGGAGGAGGCUCCGGCCUCAGCCAGCUCAGAGAGGGGCUCCCAUGGUGCCGUGGCGGGCUGAAGGGCUCCUCAAGCGCUGCCAGUAUGGAAGCCAAGGCCGGAGGCCCUGAGAGUGAGGGCAGCUAGCACCUUGUCACCUAUCACUACCAGGCAGUUGAGCUGGCACCUUCCUGUGCAGAGUUAAGUUGUAAAACUAGCCAAGUGGGCAUGCUUUCGACAUGCUGUCCUGGUGGGUGUGAGUUCCUAGGUCACCACUGGAGGAUGGCAGUUCUGCAGCACGCCCCUGGAGGUGAGAGUCCCAUGGGGGCAUGCUUCGGUCUGUAAAUCCACCGUCAGCUCUGGAGGAGACAUCUGUCUUGGAGCACGAAGUUAGAGGAACUUGCCGUGCAGGCAAUGUCCGGUGAGGGAGAAGUGAGAGAUUAUAUUUGCAUUUCAGCAGAGCUAACUAAAAGCAGAGAGGGAAAAAUAUAAUUAAAUCACCCGUAGAAAAAUAGGGGUACUUGGGGCCGGGUGCAGUGGCUCAUGCCUGUAAUCCCAGCACUUUGGGAGGCCAAGGUGGGCGGAUCAUGAGGUCAGGAGUUAGAGAGCAGCCUGGUCAACAUGGUGAAACUCUGUCUCUACUAAAAAUACAAAAAUUACAGGCAGGUGCCUGUAAUCCCAACUACUCAGGAGGCUGAGGCAGGAGAAUCGCUUGAACCCGGGAGGUGGAGGUUGCAGUGAGCUGAGAUUGUGCCACUGCACUCCAGCCUGGGCAACAAGAGCAAAACUGUCUCAAAAAAAAAAAAAAAAA